UGGCGGACGGGUGAGUAACGCGUGGGCAACCUGCCGCAUACCGGGGGAUAACACUUAGAAAUAGGUGCUAAUACCGCAUAAGCGCACAGAGCCGCAUGGCUUGGUGUGAAAAACUCCGGUGGUAUGCGAUGGGCCCGCGUCUGAUUAGCUUGUUGGCGGGGCAGCGGCCCACCAAGGCGACGAUCAGUAGCCGGCCUGAGAGGGUGGACGGCCACAUUGGGACUGAGACACGGCCCAGACUCCUACGGGAGGCAGCAGUGGGGAAUAUUGCACAAUGGGGGGAACCCUGAUGCAGCGACGCCGCGUGAGUGAAGAAGUAUUUCGGUAUGUAAAGCUCUAUCAGCAGGGAAGAAAAUGACGGUACCUGACUAAGAAGCCCCGGCUAACUACGUGCCAGCAGCCGCGGUAAUACGUAGGGGGCAAGCGUUAUCCGGAUUUACUGGGUGUAAAGGGAGCGCAGACGGCUGUGCAAGUCUGGAGUGAAAGGCGGGGGCCCAACCCCCGGACUGCUCUGGAAACUGUAAAGCUGGAGUGCAGGAGAGGUAAGCGGAAUUCCUAGUGUAGCGGUGAAAUGCGUAGAUAUU
Molecule: ribosomal RNA, 584 nt
Filed under: uncultured bacterium
Lineage: Bacteria
Description: bacterial SSU rRNA
Rfam family: Bacterial small subunit ribosomal RNA
Source: RNAcentral